GAUGAAGAACGUAGCGAAAUGCGAAAAGUAAUGUGAAUUGCAGAAUUCAGUGAAUCAUCGAAUCUUUGAACGCACAUUGCGCCCGCCAGUAUUCUGGCGGGCAUGCCUGUCUGAGCGUCAUUUCAACCCUCACGCCCCUAGGGCGUGGUGUUGGGGAUCGGCCAGCGCCCGCGAGGGACGGCCGGCCCCUAAAUCUAGUGGCGGACCCGUCGUGGCCUCCCCUGCGAAGUAGUGAUAUUCCGCAUAGGAGAGCGACGAGCCCCUGCCGUUAAACCCCCAACUUUCUAAGGUUGACCUCAGAUCAGGUAGGAAUACCCGCUGAACUUAAGCAUAUCAAUAAGCGGAGGA
Molecule: unclassified non-coding RNA, 348 nt
Filed under: soil metagenome
Description: partial contains 5.8S ribosomal RNA, internal transcribed spacer 2, and large subunit ribosomal RNA
Rfam family: 5.8S ribosomal RNA (bases 1-120)
Source: RNAcentral